AGCUCCAAUAGCGUAUAUUAAAGUUGUUGCGGUAAAAAAGCUCGUAGUUGGAUUUCUGUUGGGGACGACUGGUCCACACCAUGUGUGCGAUUUGGUUCGGCCUCGGCAUCCUUCCGAAAACUGCUUUUGCGCUUGAUUGCGUGGAAGUGGCUUCGGAACUUAUACUUUGAGGAAAUUAGAGUGUUCACGGCAGGCUAUCGCCAGAAUACAUUAGCAUGGAAUAUUACUAUAGGAUCUCGGUUCUAUUUUGUUGGUUUCUAGAACUGAGAUAAUGAUUAAUAGGGACAAUUGGGGGCAUUCGUAUCGACACGUCAGAGGUGGAAUUCUUGGAUUGUGUUGCGACGAACUACUGCGAAAGCAUUUGCCAAGGAUGUUUUCA
Molecule: ribosomal RNA, 379 nt
Filed under: uncultured eukaryote
Lineage: Eukaryota
Description: SSU rRNA
Rfam family: Eukaryotic small subunit ribosomal RNA
Source: RNAcentral